This is a long non-coding RNA of Macrobrachium nipponense, 872 nucleotides long. RefSeq lists it as uncharacterized. The record is from RefSeq and is a predicted model, not a curated record. The transcript is spliced from 3 exons. Lineage: Eukaryota; Metazoa; Arthropoda; Malacostraca; Decapoda; Palaemonidae.
GGCGGAAUGACUUGAUCGUGAACACUGUGAAUGCCAGACUGCAUUUGGCCGCUUCGGAGAUUAAGGAUAUCAAAGGUUCUGAAAACAUUGAUUCAUCUCCUCUGGUAAUGUAUAUCUUAGGCGUUUUUAUCAGGUUCGUUGAUGUGUCCCAAAGGCGAACAGGAGAGAUUGGCCUUUGGAUUAUUCGCCGUCACAGAACUCCUUAAUUGAGGAUUCCAUCACGAGUGCAAUGGAAAAAAAGGAUAUUUUCAUAUUUUAUAAACUGGAAAAGUAGCUGCUUCAUCUAUUUUUAUUAUUCAGUUAUAUAAAAACUCGGUGCAACUCGAAAUUUAGUUUCAAUUGCUGUUGGUUGACCGAGCAGGCUUGGAUUAUUGUGCAAGAGGAUAAUUGAUUUGCCAGUCGUCCUACGACUUUAGCAAUGGUAUGUGAAAUACUAUACUCCAGGAACUAAUACACGGUUGUUCAUGAUAUAAAUGAUGAAUUAAAAAAAUCUGUUAUAUUACUUCUUUUUGGGAAACCCUUUUUUAAGCUCGGUGAAUUCUCAUAAGAAAAAAGUAUGAAUAUAAUCUGGAUAGGUUUGAGAGCUAAUUUUAAUUAGGAAGCGAAAACCAGAUGAAAGCAUAAAUGGCUGGCAUAGAGAUGUAGACCUACAGUAUAUAAAACUGAAAACUUUUGCCUAUAACAUACCUCCAAGACCUGAACGAUGCCAUUACACAGGACAAAAUUCGAAUUGGGAAUGGGAUACCGUUAUGAGAUUUUACUACACGAGUGACAGUUAAGUUAUAAUUUAUGAAAACCUGACCUUUCUUUUAAUCUACGUUAACGUCCGCUUACAGCUUCUUGUUUCAGGAGAAAUUGGUAUGGAUUGCUGU